UAGGGAAUCUUCCACAAUGGACGCAAGUCUGAUGGAGCAACGCCGCGUGAGUGAAGAAGGUUUUCGGACCGUAAAGCUCUGUUGUUGGUGAAGAAGGAUAGAGGUAGUAACUGGCCUUUAUUUGACGGUAAUCAACCAGAAAGUCACGGCUAACUACGUGCCAGCAGCCGCGGUAAUACGUAGGUGGCAAGCGUUGUCCGGAUUUAUUGGGCGUAAAGCGAGCGCAGGCGGAAGAAUAAGUCUGAUGUGAAAGCCCUCGGCUUAACCGAGGAAUUGCAUCGGAAACUGUUUUUCUUGAGUGCAGAAGAGGAGAGUAGAACUCCAUGUGUAGCGGUGGAAUGCGUAGAUAUAUGGAAGAAUACCAGUGGCGAAGGCGGCUCUCUGGUCUGCAACUGACGCUGAGGCUCGAAAGCAUGGGUAGCGAACAGGAUUAGAUACCCUUGGUAGUCC
Molecule: ribosomal RNA, 450 nt
Filed under: uncultured bacterium
Lineage: Bacteria
Description: partial 16S ribosomal RNA
Rfam family: Bacterial small subunit ribosomal RNA
Source: RNAcentral